Molecule: unclassified non-coding RNA, 261 nt
Filed under: plant metagenome
Description: partial contains small subunit ribosomal RNA, internal transcribed spacer 1, and 5.8S ribosomal RNA
Source: RNAcentral
UUUCCGUAGGUGAACCUGCGGAAGGAUCAUUAUUGUAUAACCGAGGUGCGACGGCUGUCGCUGACCCGAAAGGUCGUGCACGCCCGAGUGCCCUCACACAUCCAUCUCACCCCUAUGUGCACCACCGCGUGGGUCCCCCUUUGGCUUGUUCGGAGGGGGGCUUACGUUUUCACACAAACUUUGUAUGCAGUGUAGAAUGUAUUUUUUGUUUUUGCGAUCACGCAAUCAAUACAACUUUCAACAACGGAUCUCUUGGCUCUC